This 36-nucleotide non-coding RNA is filed under the name unclassified sequences. RNAcentral's name for it is "DUF805b RNA". It matches the Rfam family "DUF805b RNA". From Rfam's summary of the family: Bacteroidetes, Chlorobi (1 example), Proteobacteria. Lineage (Flavobacteria) The record is from RNAcentral.
AAGGGGAUUGCCGAAAACCCUGCAAUAGAGUAGGCG